Long non-coding RNA from Bos indicus x Bos taurus (hybrid cattle), 1793 nucleotides. NCBI's taxonomy places the organism in Eukaryota, Metazoa, Chordata, Mammalia, Artiodactyla, Bovidae. The record is from Ensembl.
AUGAUAAAAAGGGAAAUUCUACAGGAUUUGGAUGGGGAUGACCUGACCCCUCCCCCAUACUGGAUAAUGACAUGCCUGCCUCCCAGUGCUCCACCAGGACCAGAGGCUGCCUUACUGCCCAAUCCAGGGCCAGGUGAAGCUCCUACAGCUGCCACUGCUCUCCCACUAGCUCUCCCGGAGUCUGUGGGGCCGCCACUUCAGCAGGCUCCAAUGCCAGCAAUGGAGACCUCUGGUCAAUGCCCCCAGAAUUUCAACUCAGCUGGACCUCCUAGAUUGUAUCCACCUCUCCUGGUGGGCCCUCACAUGAUUGCAAGGAAAUAUGCCAGCAGCCCUGACUUGAGACCAGCCAAUCCCGGACCCAGAUUUGGUCCUGUACAUCAAGGGCACCAGCCUGGUGAAGCAAGGACAAUGACUGUCGGGAUAUGCAGUAGUCAUGGAAGAAACCAUCGUUGAGGCUAGCUCUCUGCCAUCACACUGGCCUGCUCAACAGGCCAAACUAUAUGCUCUAAUCCAGGCCCUCCCGCUGUCAAAAGGUAAGAAGACAAACACUUACACAGACUCCAAGUAUGCUUUUGCCACACUACAGGGCUCUCUCUGUAUAAGGAGAGAGGCCUUUGACAGGGAGUGAAAAAGAUAUUAAGAAUAAGGAAGAAAUUAAGACCCUAUUAGAUGCUGCCUGGGAACCAGAAAGGGUUGCAAUCAUACACUGCUUGAGGACAUCAAAAAGAGGAUACCCCCCAGACUCGGAACAGACUGGCAGACAAGACUGCUAAACAAGCAGCCGAAGGCUUGGGGGUGACAAGUGAAGCCCCUACUAAUGCUCUCAUGUUGGCGGAGCUACCUGAGCUAACGCUGCUGCUGUUAAGUCGCUUCAGUCGUAUCCAACUCUGUUCGACCCCAUAGACGGCAGCCCACCAACCUCCCCCGUCCCCGGGAUUGUCCAGGCAAGAACACUGGAGUGGGUUGCCAUUUCCUUCUAGACUCUCCAAAAUACACUGAAGCCCAAAACCAACUAGCGAAAGCAGAAGGCGCCAUCAAGACUGAAAAGGGAUGGUGGGAAUUGCCAAGUGGCAAAUUAUUGGUACCAGAGGAGCUGGCACCCACUCGGGUAAGCCAAACACACCAAGCAACCCAUCUAGGCCAUGAUAAACUGGAAGAGCUAAUUUGAAAAUAGUUUUUGGUUCCCCACCUCUCUUCCCUAUGCAGGACAAAAUCUCAGAACUGCACUGCCUGCUCACAGGUCAAUGCUGCCUCUCCACACAGACAGAAACCUCCAGGGAUUCAGGUGAAAGGCACGCUGCCCUUUAAACACCUGGAAGUGGACUUCACUGAAAUGAAACCUCACCGACACUACCAUUACCUGCUGGUCAUAGUAUGUAUAUUCUCGAGAUGGGUAGAAGAUUUUCCUACCCGGACUGAAAGAGCAUCAAAGGUAGCCUGGUGCCUGCUUAGGGAGAUAGUUCCCAGAUUUGGAUUUCCUACCAGCAUUGGAUAAGACAAUGGCCCGGCUUUCGUAGCUGAUUUAGUACAACAAGUAAGCAAAACUUCAAACAUCAAGUGGAAAUCACAUACAGCAUAUAGGCCCCAGAGUUCUGGGAUGGUGGAAGGAACCAACCGGACACUUAAAGAGACACUCUCCAAGUGGCUCUUAGAGACUGUUCCUGGGUGGACUUGUUUCCGACAGCUCUGCUCAGACUCAGGAUGACCCCACAGUCCCAUGGCCCUUCUCUGUACAAAAUUGUGUAUGGGAGGCCCCCUCCCAUAAUAAAACAGGUGUCAACAAAUUUGCCUCA